CUACGGGUGGCAGCAGUGGGGAAUAUUGGACAAUGGGCGAAAGCCUGAUCCAGCAAUACCGCGUGAAUGAUGAAGGCCUUAGGGUUGUAAAGUUCUUUUAGUUGGAAAGAUAAUGACGGUACCAACAGAAAAAGCCCCGGCUAACUCCGUGCCAGCAGCCGCGGUAAGACGGAGGGGGCUAGCGUUGUUCGGAAUUACUGGGCGUAAAGGGCGCGUAGGCGGAUUAGUAAGUUGGGAGUGAAAGCCCGGGGCUUAACCUCGGAACUGCUUUCAAAACUGCUAGUCUUGAGUGAAGUAGGGGAUGAUGGAAUUCCUAGUGUAGAGGUGAAAUUCUUAGAUAUUAGGAGGAACACCGGUGGCGAAGGCGGUCAUCUGGACUUCAACUGACGCUGAGGCGCGAAAGCGUGGGGAGCAAACAGGAUUAGAUACCCGAGUAGUC
RNAcentral lists this ribosomal RNA (439 nucleotides) under uncultured bacterium. RNAcentral's name for it is "partial 16S ribosomal RNA". It matches the Rfam family "Bacterial small subunit ribosomal RNA", at positions 339 to 795 of the family's 1533-position model. The record is from RNAcentral.